This 31-nucleotide non-coding RNA is filed under the name Mus musculus (house mouse). The record is from RNAcentral. Lineage: Eukaryota; Metazoa; Chordata; Mammalia; Rodentia; Muridae.
UGGUAGGUGUCUCUUUGUGGCCAUAUGCAUU